GACUGGGGCGGUCGCCUCCUAAAAGGUAACGGAGGCGCUCAAAGGUUCCCUCAGAAUGGUUGGAAAUCAUUCAUAGAGUGUAAAGGCAUAAGGGAGCUUGACUGCGAGACCUACAAGUCGAGCAGGGUCGAAAGACGGACUUAGUGAUCCGGUGGUUCCGCAUGGAAGGGCCAUCGCUCAACGGAUAAAAGCUACCCCGGGGAUAACAGGCUUAUCUCCCCCAAGAGUUCACAUCGACGGGGAGGUUUGGCACCU
This is a ribosomal RNA of 255 nucleotides. It matches the Rfam family "Bacterial large subunit ribosomal RNA", at positions 2272 to 2526 of the family's 2925-position model.